GUUUUGAAAAUUACCUUGUGUUUCAGCAGCAAUGUGGACUCCAAUCAAAGUUUUCUGAUGUCUGAGCCUCCUGAGUAUUCCACACACCUAACCAGUAAACAGUGAGCUAAUGACCUGGCCAUCCUGUUCAAACAGUUCAUUAUAGGUGUCUGGGGAAGGGUAAAAUUCUGGAGGCCCUGACAUUGAAUCCCGUAAGAUCCUAAAGCCAUCGAAGGGGCAGGGUUUUGAGUCACAAAACAAAGCAGAAAUAGAUGCGAUUCUGUACAUGGCGCUCCUUCAGCUGUCCCUCUAGACUGGGGUGCGAUCGGGCAGGGGAAUGAAACAGGUUGAACCCCUCACAGUAGCAGCAGCAUCUACAUCAUCAUCAUCAUUCAUAUGUCCAGCUGAAGAGGCAGAUGAUGCAGAAAAGGUCUGUGGAUAAGGAAACUCCAGCUCUGAAUCAUCAGUCCCACUUUUUCCAUCAUGGCAGCCAUACAAAAUAAGGAAGAAAAAAGAAAUGCAUCCAGUGUGACUGGCCUGGUGCUGCCUGGAGUAAUGACCAGGGGUGAUAAGAGAGCAGGUACUGGAAUCCACAGCAGAAGAAGUCCAUCAUUCUAUUCCAAAUCAAAAGGGCCUUGGCUUUAUGGAGACGGUGAGGCUCAUACAGAAUAUGUGCAAAAUGAUUUUUACAAGCAACGUUGAAAGACACCCGUUUGAUGCAGGGUCCUUUUGGCUAGGGCCAUCCACAGGAAGCUGAGGUUCUCCUUUGCAUUCAGGAAGCAGCCAUUGUUCCUUGUGCAGCGACUGAGAACAAGCGGGAGCUGGCUCUCCUCCUCCACCUCUUCCUCCUCCUCAUGGACACAUGCUGGGGUUGUAUUCGCUCCUGAAAAGCUCUCUUACACCACCCAACUCUGCGACUCGUCCCAACAGAAAUG
This 914-nucleotide long non-coding RNA is filed under the name Chrysemys picta bellii (western painted turtle). RNAcentral's name for it is "lncRNA (ENSCPBG00000028212.1)". Lineage: Eukaryota; Metazoa; Chordata; Testudines; Emydidae. The record is from RNAcentral.